GGCCAGUUAGCUCAGUCGGUUAGAGCGUGGUGCUGAUAACACCAAGGCUGCAGGUUCGAUUCCCACUCGAUCCC
Molecule: transfer RNA, 74 nt
Filed under: Apaloderma vittatum (bar-tailed trogon)
Lineage: Eukaryota; Metazoa; Chordata; Aves; Trogoniformes; Trogonidae
Rfam family: tRNA
About the family: Transfer RNA (tRNA) molecules are approximately 80 nucleotides in length. Their secondary structure includes four short double-helical elements and three loops (D, anti-codon, and T loops).
Source: Rfam by way of RNAcentral